ACUGCGAGGGUCCGCAGCUUCAUUCUUGAAGUCAGUGAGACCAAGUUCCGGACACAUUCUCAGGGCCAAAAUGGCUGACUAGAAGCAGCUACAGUGUGUAGCUCUCAGGGAGAGGAAGGAAAGGGAAGAGUAAAUACAGCACCUUCAACUGAAAUAUCCAGGUAUUCACAUUGGGACUGACCAGGGAAACAGCUGGACCCACAGAGAACGAAGAAAAGCAGGGCAGGGUGAUGGCCUGCACGAGAGUGACACGGAGCCAAGGGAACCUCCCCCUCCCAGGGAAGUGGGCAUGAAAGGUUCAAAUAGAAAAGCAGCAUGGUGAUGGGGCUGACUGUUCCAGAAUUGAUGUGCCCGUGCUCCGUGAGGAACGCAGCUCAUCUGUACCAGCAAAUGUGUUGGCUCCUGCCUGCAAUUGUAUCAUUCAGGUGUGCAUUGUAAAAACAAUUCACGGAUAAGCACAGGGAUUUCACUGUUUUCUGCUAUCUGGAUUUUCCCAAAGAUCCGCUAAAUCCUAAACUUCAUCUUGGUCUGAAGAAGGGCAAGUCCUCUCUCCAGCUCUUCAUUUGCUGACUCUCACUGAUGCAAGAAGAAUGAAGUCUCUUACCUGCCUUCUCCUAGGACAUCCUGGGAGAAACUGUGACUGCUGGUGUGUUCUCAAAACUCACCAACAUGAUUCUCCUUGUGGCUAUAUGACUCUAGAAAGGGAAUUUAAAUAAAAUGAUAACAAUUAACAGAUACUUUUAUGUAAACAACCGGUAGUGACCACUAUACUAGUUGGUUUGUAUUUACCAAAUUCCAUGUCUGAGGCCAAGAAUUUAUCUCUAAAUCCUCUGGGAUAAAAAUCCAGCAUCUCAUCUUUUUUUCUGCCAGCUGUAAAAACAUUGCAGGAAGGUACUGAGUACUUUUUGUUGUUGUUUUCUCCUUUCUUUGAAUCUUUGGCUUUGACAAGCAUGGAAUGAAAAUCAUAUAGAGCAUGGAGCUUAUAGCAAAGGAGAAUGUAGAGGCAAAGAGAAUAAAAAUGCUGGGAUAAUUUCUUGAAAAAUUACUUAGA
This 1051-nucleotide long non-coding RNA is filed under the name Homo sapiens (human). RNAcentral describes it as "non-protein coding lnc-IFI44-2:2". Lineage: Eukaryota; Metazoa; Chordata; Mammalia; Primates; Hominidae. The record is from RNAcentral.